ACUCUAGUUGAUUCAUAUAUUCAUAACCGUUACACUAACUUUUUUUUGUCAACACGAGAACUUUUAUUCUGCUAACAAAACUGAAAUUUAGCAGCGUAAGCACAAUAUGUGUGUGUGUGUGACAUAGAAAAUACACCAUAAUAAAAUACAAAACGUUAGCAAACUAAAAUUUCACAUUCUGAGAAUUACGGGAACAAUAUUUAGAAAACAGCCAUGUAAGUGGUCUCUAUAAAUCUUUGCCAAAAAAAGUCUCUAAAAAUACUAGAGAAUUUAGAAACAUAACAUUUAUGAUUUUGUUGGAACGUCGUAAUUAUAUAUAUACAUAAAGGACUAAAGGAGUUCGCUAAAUAAACAUCUAAUAUAUUAUGAAAAUUUAGGCCAUAAUCUUCAUUUAAGUCGAGGACCUUGAUAAUACCACGGUCUAAAAAACAGUUUUAACAUAAUUGUGAUAGAUUAAUUUUAAUGAUUUGUUUAUUUAUAACUAAACACUAAUAAGUCUACUGGUCUUAUCCCUUUGUUCUUUUUUCUUUUUUGUCGACGACACCCUUUUAGUUAUAUAUAGAGUGGAUCACGUAAAUACCAAAAGGAAAUGUGGAUGAUUCUUUUUUUUUCUGGCCAUGUGGAUGCUAUACAUCAAUAUGUCAAAAUUAUGCAACACCAUGCGGUAUGUAAUCACUAUAAAUGGAUCUAUCAUAUACUUUUUACUAUAUUUCAUCCUUAUACGUAUAUACUGAUUCGAAAAAGAAACAACAAAGUUAUUUUCCUUUCAUUUUUAUUAGGCCUAUCGGUUCCAUAUGUAGAUUUUACGUCUUUUAUGUUUUACUUUGUAUUUCUUUUAUUAAAACUUGUUUCUAUACAUUUCAUUUUCCAAUAUAUCGCAGUUUUCUUUUCUAUUUAUGCAUUUUUGUGUAUUUUUACACUAAAUGCUUACAUUAAUUUGAAAAUUUUAAUGGAUGUAGACAAAUAUAACCAGUAAUAAACGAAGAAAAUUACAAAACAAUGAAUAAUAGAUAUGGUAAAAGAAAAAAAAAUCCGUUCAAAACUUUACUUAAAAUUCUAAAGUCUGUGCUCGGAAAAAAUAUAUAUAUAUAUAAGCUUCAUCUUUUGUGUGCUAAUGUUUCCUUUUUUCAACUUGAUAUUUUAUUUAUGUGUUUCUAAUUUAUAUAAUUUUCCUUUCACGUAUUGUUAGUUUUAUCAAAAACAUCUGGAACGGAAGGUUUGUAUGUGAAAUUUCAUUUUCGUGCUUAGUAUUUGCUUAGUCUGGUGUUUGAGCUAAUUCAUUGCGGAGCGACGCAUAUUAAAUUUAUUUUAGAUAAAAAGUCCCAAACAAACUUUGAUUUUUACCAAAAAAAAAAAAACAUUGAUUUUUCUAACUAAGGUAUCACUAAGAAUAUACUACAUACAAUAAGUGUGUCGUUAGGUAGGUCUCAUGUGGCACGUAUAAUGAAUAGCGAAAACAACGAAACACGUGUUCUCUCAAUAUGCCAAGUGUCAUGUAUUACAGCGGAUGCGUCUAUACACUUGUGGCUUCUUAAUCCAAGGAAUGUUAUAAAUAAGAUAAAGAGUACGUUGUAUAAUUGUGAAGUUGAUUUUAGUAUGACGUUAGUAUCACUUACGAUGUCUUACAUGUCCAAAUUACGUCAAAAAGUGAGAUAAAUUAAAAGCGAUCGUGGAAAAAAACAAAGAUUAAAAGUGUUCUAUACUUUUGUCCAUUUUUUACACAACUUUUUAGCUUCACUGACUGACUUUGUGGGAAUUAUAUAUGUCUUUGUCUUUUGAGAUUAAAUCUAAUCUACAAACAUUUGCAGAGAUGCAACGUUGAUGGUGAUUGGUCAUCUGCCAAUCGCCAUUAGAUUGGAGUUCUUCAUUGCCAGAGCUAGAUGAGGGAUUAGAUAACAAAUGGUCUAAAGAAAACGCAUUGUAUCGAUCGAGACUUGUUUCAACGCUCGAUGAUACAGAGGCACAGUGAGCUAUGAUUCACAAAUGGUCUAAAGAAAACGCAUUAUACCAAAACUCUAAUAUGGUACGCAUGGUUUUUAUAGCCAUAUGUCCGGAAUGUUUGGAGACUUUACACUACAUGCAUAUAUAAGAUAAAAUUUCAGUUAA
Brassica rapa (field mustard) is the source of this 2106-nucleotide long non-coding RNA. RefSeq lists it as uncharacterized. NCBI's taxonomy places the organism in Eukaryota, Viridiplantae, Streptophyta, Magnoliopsida, Brassicales, Brassicaceae. The record is from RefSeq and is a predicted model, not a curated record.